UCCUACGGGGGGCAGCAGUGAGGAAUAUUGGUCAAUGGGCGCGAGCCUGAACCAGCCAAGUCGCGUGAGGGAAGACGGUCCUAUGGAUUGUAAACCUCUUUUGUCGGGGAGCAAAAGACGCCACGCGUGGCGUUCCGAGAGUACCCGAAGAAAAAGCAUCGGCUAACUCCGUGCCAGCAGCCGCGGUAAUACGGAGGAUGCGGGCGUUAUCCGGAUUUAUUGGGUUUAGAGGGUGCGCAGGCGGAAGAUCAAGUCAGCGGUAAAAUUGAGAGGCUCAACCUCUUCGAGCCGUUGAAACUGGUUUU
Molecule: ribosomal RNA, 305 nt
Filed under: uncultured bacterium
Lineage: Bacteria
Description: bacterial SSU rRNA
Rfam family: Bacterial small subunit ribosomal RNA
Source: RNAcentral